GACGAACGCUGGCGGCGUGCUUAACACAUGCAAGUCGAACGGAAAGGCCCUGCUUUUGUGGGGUGCUCGAGUGGCGAACGGGUGAGUAACACGUGAGUAACCUGCCCUUGACUUUGGGAUAACUUCAGGAAACUGGGGCUAAUACCGGAUAGGAGCUCCUGCUGCAUGGUGGGGGUUGGAAAGUUUCGGCGGUUGGGGAUGGACUCGCGGCUUAUCAGCUUGUUGGUGGGGUAGUGGCUUACCAAGGCUUUGACGGGUAGCCGGCCUGAGAGGGUGACCGGCCAAAUUGGGACUGAGAUACGGCCCAUACUCCUACGGGAGGAAGCAGUGGGGAAUAUUGCACAAUGGGCGGAAGCCUGAUGCAGCAACGCCGCGUGCGGGAUGACGGCCUUCGGGUUGUAAACCGCUUUCGCCUGUGACGAAGCGUGAGUGACGGUAAUGGGUAAAGAAGCACCGGCUAAAUACGUG
RNAcentral lists this ribosomal RNA (468 nucleotides) under uncultured bacterium. RNAcentral's name for it is "partial 16S ribosomal RNA". It matches the Rfam family "Bacterial small subunit ribosomal RNA", at positions 28 to 507 of the family's 1533-position model. The record is from RNAcentral.